AUACGGAGGGUACGAGCGUUGUUCGGAAUUACUGGGCGUAAAGCGCGUGUAGGCGGCCGUAAAAGUCGGGUGUGAGAUCCCGGGGCUCAACCCCGGAACUGCACCCGAAACUAUAUGGCUAGAGUCCCGGAGGGGGUGGCGGAAUUUCCGGUGUAGAGGUGAAAUUCGUAGAUAUCGGAAGGAACACCAGUGGCGAAGGCGGCCACCUGGACGGUGACUGACGCUGAGAUGCGAAAGCGUGGGGAGCAAACAGGAUUAGAUACCCCGGUAGUCC
Molecule: ribosomal RNA, 274 nt
Filed under: uncultured bacterium
Lineage: Bacteria
Description: partial 16S ribosomal RNA
Rfam family: Bacterial small subunit ribosomal RNA
Source: RNAcentral